CAACGUUCUUCAAAAGGAGGUUAGAUUUAUAACCUUUUGCGGGAAAUCGUCUACCAAUCUAACACGAAAAUAAACAGUUUUCAGAUGAAAAGUUGAUGUACUGGAGACAGAUUGGUCAGCCAGUGAAAGAUGUUCUGUUGGUAUUGAGAAUAAAUGGAAUUCUAGCCAGACACAGGACAUCUACUUACCUGUCCAUGUGGAAGUGAGUGUAGUUGUUAUAGUUUCUGUUGAGCAGCAGAAUUAAUAAUUGAACUUAAAUCAGAUCCUGGAAAUCUACUGACAAGAUCCAGUGUCUAGGUGACAUUGACUGGUUGGAAUAGUAGUCUAGUGAGUAGUGGUAACAGAACUAAAUCAAGACACUAGACAUGUACGGACCUCCAUCAUGUCUUGGUGGAAGUGACUGCGGCUGGAAUAGUUGUCAAGUGAGCAGCAGGAAUUGAACUCAAGUCAGCAACUGGACCUGUACUUACCUCCAACUUGUUGAGGUGGAAGUGACUGCGGCUGGGAUAGUUGUCAAGUCAAGAAUUACCAGCCAAGUCUUGGCAGUGUCAGAAAGUGACUUUGUUAAAACCAGUUAAUUUAUAAAAUGGCAACAAGUUCUCAGUCUUCAGUUGAGCUGGGUUCGCAUGAAGUGAAGGACUAUAUUUGUAAUGCCUGUGAAGACCAGAAUAAUGUUGAGACAAGUGCUGAUUUCUAUUGUAAACAGUGUGAACGGUUUUAUUGUGGAAACUGUAUUGAUCCACAUGGUAAAGUCUUUUCUAAACAUACUACAUUUGGAAGGGUCGAAAUAGAUAAUUGGCCAGUUUCAAAAAAGGUGGUGGAUUUUCUACAAACUUGUGAUGUUCAUAAGGAUCAUAAAAUUGACCAAUUCUGCAACCUGCAUGAACAGCUGUGCUGCCCACAGUGUGUAUCUGAUCA
Molecule: long non-coding RNA, 918 nt
Organism: Dreissena polymorpha
Lineage: Eukaryota; Metazoa; Mollusca; Bivalvia; Myida; Dreissenidae
Exons: 3
Source: RefSeq, a predicted model, not a curated record